AUGAGCCGGCGGUUUCUGUACAUGGCGGUCGAGAACUUGUGUGCUUCUCCCGUCUCGCACACGGUCAACCGCAUCAACCCCUCGCGCCUGUUCUACCCCAAGGGUUCGCCGGAGCGGACGGCGGCGGCCGCAGCGCCGGCUGCGAGGGCUAUGGCGAUGGAGGCAGCGAAGGAGAGGGCGAGGGCGAUGACGGAGGUGGCGGCGGCCGAUGCGGUGAAGGCUCGCCUGGCUCACCCCUCCAUGACCUUCUCCUCUUCCGACGUGGACAACGUGGUGGAUACGGACUUCGCGCUCAUCGGCCGGAGCAAGGACAAGAUCGUCGCCCUGCACCGCGCCCACCUCGAAGACAUCAGAGGUUGCCGGAUCACGACCCAGGGCAGCGCCGUCCUCUACGACGAUGCCUCGCACUCCUUCCGCGCGCUGCCCGACAUCACAGCCACAUUGCCCCACGGCGAGGUCGCGCCUGUCGCCGUCGGCGACGACCUUUCAUACACUCCACACGGUCGCACAUCUGGGCGUCCACGCGCAGUCACGGGACCUACUCCAUGGACCAUGGACACGGCGACCGGCGUGUGGAGCAAGGCCAGCGACUCACCGCUGCCGUUCAGGGGACGCGCCGAGUACGCUCCGGAGCUCGGCCUCUGGUUCGGCUUCCCCAAUGACGACUGGCAGACUCGGGGCUGGGACAGAGGACUCCUCUGCGCGUGGGACCUGAAAUCCGCCGGCGCUGGCGCCGGGGCAGCGCCGAUCGAGGCGCGCGGAGUGUGGGAAGGCUUCACGGUGCCCAGGGGAAGCUAUGUGAGGUCGCACCUCGUGCACCUGGGCGACGGUGGCCGGUUCUGCGUCACCAAGUUCUUUGAGAUGACAAAGCCGCCGCCGGCGUCGUGCUGUGCUCGCUGUUACUAUGACAAUUGCCCUCCUGAAAUCGGGUUCGCCGUGCUCAUCGGCGUGGAGGUGGAGCGCUAUGGCAGCGGGGAGCUCCGAAUGAUCAAGCACAGGUCGCGCAAAUAUAGCUUAGAAAUAAGAGACCAAUGUUCCUACAAGCUCUCUCAGAGCUCAGGCACUCUCGGCCGUCGGAUCGUCCUGCUUGAUGCAUUUUCGGCCGUUGGAUCGAGAGCCUGGUUACUCCAUUUGUUUGAUCGGCACUCGCUGACGUGUGGGUCCCGUCGCGGGUGGGCCGCAUUUGUCAGCGACCGUGUCUGUGGCUCCGGCGCGUCCGUCCCAUUGCGUGCACCAGCGGUAAAUAUCCCCAUGCCACCGCAUGUUAUAUCCUGCCCCGCCGAGGGUAUUUUGGUCUUUUCGCUUCCAGGGUCGUGCGUGGCUUGCGGUGGUUGGCUCGUGCGGCUAUGGGGUGGGGGAGGGCGGCUACCUAUCCUUUCGUGCUCUCAUUCGUCCCCCUUGUCUCCUUCUCCUAUCCCAAACCUAGCCGUCGCAUCGCCCCGUCCCGCUCUCCCGUGGUCGCUCGCCGCCGCCCGCACUGGCGCCGCGACCUUUCCUCUCUUCAUCGCGCCGCCACCUUCCCUUCUCCUCCGGCCUCGCCUCUUCCUCCCUUCUCCUCCGGCGCCUCCUCCCAAGGGAAGUGAAGGGAAGGAUCGAGCCAUGGAGGUCCGGUCCGGCCCGGCAGCGGCCAUGGAUGGAGACGCCCAAAACCCUAGCCCUCCAAGGACGUGCGCCGGCUGCAGGCCAUCUCCGGCGAGCUCAUCCACGGGUCUCCGACUAUGGUGCGUGUGCAUGAUCCCUAAAUCCCCUCUCUUGUCGCUGCUCCGAUCUGGAAGAGGGGGUGGAGCUGCUACUGCUGCAGGUGAACGAGACACGAGGUCUCAUGGCUGCUCCCUCCUCCUACCCCUUGACGUGGUGAACUCCACCCCCUCUUCCUACCCCCUGCACAUCUAUCUUAUUUUGAUUGCAAUUGUGGUUGCUCUGAUGAGGACAAGCUGCUUCUGCAGGUGGACGGGCCCUCAUGGUCGCCACACUCUCUCAUCGGAAGUUGGCAGGAGAAGCAUCGGCCGCCGAAGCAGACGAGCCGAGCCAUUAGUGGCUGCAUCUUUGACAUCCUUUCCUAGCAUGCUCGCCAGCGUACGUUGUCCACUGGCAGUAGCAAGGAUCAUGGUGCAGGACCCAGGCCACUCAAACUCAAAGCAUACUAACAACCAGGCCUGGAGAUAUAGUUUGCACAAUGUUCUGUUCUGCCAUAUGCCAUUUUGAUAUGGCUAAAAUGUUAGCUUUUGAUAUGUGUCAGAAUUAUGUUGCCCCACCAGCCUGAAAAUGUGAUAAAUAAAAGCCUACAGUGCUCAUUUAUUUGUAUUUACAGGCUUCGUUGUGCAUAUGAUUUACUCUUUGUUCCAUAAGAUCACAUUUUGGUAGUGGUGUAAGCUGAACCUUGAUGUUGUUGCUGCUGUAUUCUGUAAUGGAAUUGUUAGAUAAGGUAGUUAACUAUCUCUAGCCAUAGGUCUUAUAGUGGUGCAGAUUCAUUUUCUCUGCUAGGAGUUUACUUAAUUACAGAACAUUCCUGAAUAGUUACAUUAAGCUAGCCAUGUUCCCAGUAAGCUCAGAAAUUUCCUGGCAUACACUUGACACCAGUUAUCUCUCAUAUUUCCCUGAUUUCCAUAGCUGUGUUGUAUCCCUUACAUGUUGUUUUAGUCGGUCUUUGCGAUUGGUUCACUUAGAGGCUUAUUUAGUUGUCUGGUGAUUCUCCUCUACCAAGCAGCAGGCCCAAGGGAGUUGUGAUUUAGUCAUUGGCUAUGGUCAUUGGUAUGAUAGAAGCAUUACACAGUGCAUCAAUGAUAAAGCUACUGUUCUCUCAAACUGGUAAUAUUGUUCUGUUUUCUUGGAUGAUGUGAAGUUAACUGAUGGCCAUGCCAGCAUCAACUUGGUUUAUAGUAGGUUCAUAUGCAUGUAUAUUGAUGUAUUUCCUUUCUAACAAAUUUUUAGUGAUGCUUACUGCAUUAUUACAUAGGUUAAUGUCACUUUCUGACUUCAUUCAUUCAAGGUGGAUGCUUCUUUUGUAUUGUUAUUGUCAUGAUC
RNAcentral lists this ribosomal RNA (3024 nucleotides) under Triticum aestivum (bread wheat). RNAcentral's name for it is "partial small subunit ribosomal RNA". Lineage: Eukaryota; Viridiplantae; Streptophyta; Magnoliopsida; Poales; Poaceae. The record is from RNAcentral.